Molecule: long non-coding RNA, 1217 nt
Filed under: Felis catus (domestic cat)
Lineage: Eukaryota; Metazoa; Chordata; Mammalia; Carnivora; Felidae
Description: lncRNA (ENSFCAG00000046905.1)
Source: RNAcentral
UGAAAAGUCUCUGUCUCCAAGAGGAAAAUCUGACUCCCCUUUCCCACAUGCUGAUUAUAAAAUCGGAGCCCAAGGGGAAGCGGAUGAUAGCCGUGCAAGCCGGCUCCGCGUCCGCAAAAUGAAGGGUUUGAACUCAGCGAGCAAUUUGAUAUGUGAUAUAUAGUUGGAAAAAACGUACAUCUUCCUUUAUAGUCUUUGAGAGGUUUGGUCAAUCCGCCAAAAAAAAAAAAAAAAAAAAAAAGAACCUGACAACCCCCAGACGCCCCCACUGGCCGGGCUUUCGUAGAGGGGAAAAAGUGACUUUUACACACACACUGCUUAUUUUGUGGUGAGCGCAGAGCUCGGUAUCUCCUCGCUUUCCCCACUUCCUGUGUUAUGAAAUGCUGGGCAUAGUUUUCCCUUGGCUCAGCGGCGUUUUGAUAAAGAGCCGGGAGCUGGAUGAAAGACGCAGUGAACACUGCCCUCUCUUGUCCACGCUGCGUUGCUGCGGGUUCUCCUCGAGGCGUGCGGCUGGGCCGGGCGGGAGUUAAAAUCGUGCUGCGUGAACCUGGGCUUGGAAUUCCUAGUUACUUGUUCUCGGCGUGCGUCUGUGGCGUUUUAGCCCCGUGGAGCAUGUUUAUUUUGCGGCGCAAACAUUUCAGCUUACUCAAGGCUGCUCCUUCGCACCGGCAAUGUUGGCUGUUCCAGGCCGACCCCAAAAAAACCAUCCUGGGAGGCGUUCAAGUGAAGAGUAUGAAGUGAAGGGGAUGAAAACAGAGACGUGACCACAGUUUGAACACAUUUCAGUCACCAGCAGCUCCGGCAGGGCCAGCCUGUCACAUGCCUGCUAAUGGUGUCCCCACGGCUGCAUCUCAGGGGCUCUGCGCUGGAAGUCUUACUGCCCACGGCAAGUUACCGUAUUCCCCCUACUAAUGCCGCCCUAAACACCGGAGCAGCAGGGCUGGGCUGCGUGCUGCUACUAAGUGCAGGCACUGAUGGUACCACACUUCCAGGCCUUGCUUGACGGUCCGAAAUAAUAUAAGGCAGGCAGGUGCCUAGUAAGUGUCACGGCUGUUUAGUCGGCCUUAGCCUGGGAAUAUGGAAGCAGCUCAUUUAGAACUAUUCUGGGAAGCCCUCCUCGCCUUGAGGUCCCAGUGUCCAAGGACAUUUUUUACAGACGGGCUUAAGCGUUUGCAGCAUUAAAUAAAUAAAUGAAAGCCCAAAGCUGCUGAUGUCUC